GCAGCACGGGAGCAAUCCUGGUGGCGAGUGGCGAACGGGUGAGUAAUAUAUCGGAACGUGCCCAGUCGUGGGGGAUAACGUAGCGAAAGCUACGCUAAUACCGCAUACGAUCUACGGAUGAAAGCGGGGGACUCGUAAGGGCCUCGCGCGAUUGGAGCGGCCGAUAUCAGAUUAGGUUGUUGGUGAGGUAAAAGCUCACCAAGCCUGCGAUCUGUAGCUGGUCUGAGAGGACGACCAGCCACACUGGAACUGAGACACGGUCCAGACUCCUACGGGAGGCAGCAGUGGGGAAUUUUGGACAAUGGACGCAAGUCUGAUCCAGCAAUGCCGCGUGCAGGACGAAGGCCUUCGGGUUGUAAACUGCUUUUGUACGGAACGAAACGGUCUGCUUUAAUACAGUGGGCUAAUGACGGUACCGUAAGAAUAAGCACCGGCUAACUACGUGCCAGCAGCCGCGGUAAUACGUAGGGUGCGAGCGUUAAUCGGAAUUACUGGGCGUAAAGCGUGCGCAGGCGGUUAUAUAAGACAGAUGUGAAAUCCCCGGGCUCAACCUGGGACCUGCAUUUGUGACUGUAUAGCUAGAGUACGGUAGAGGGGGAUGGAAUUCCGCGUGUAGCAGUGAAAUGCGUAGAUAUGCGGAGGAACACCGAUGGCGAANGCAAUCCCCUGGACCUGUACUGACGCUCAUGCACGAAAGCGUGGGGAGCAAACAGGAUUAGAUACCCUGGUAGUCCACGCCCUAAACGAUGUCAACUGGUUGUUGGGUCUUCACUGACUCAGUAACGAAGCUAACGCGUGAAGUUGACCGCCUGGGGAGUACGGCCGCAAGGUUGAAACUCAANNNAAUUGACGGGGACCCGCACAAGCGGUGGACGAUGUGGUUUAAUUCGAUGCNACGCGAAAAACCUUACCCACCUUUGAC
RNAcentral lists this ribosomal RNA (922 nucleotides) under uncultured bacterium. Its description in RNAcentral is "bacterial SSU rRNA". It matches the Rfam family "Bacterial small subunit ribosomal RNA", at positions 69 to 985 of the family's 1533-position model. The record is from RNAcentral.